GAUGAACGCUGGCGGCGUGCCUAAUACAUGCAAGUCGAGCGGUAAGGCUCCUGCAGAUUGUUUGAUUAUCAAGGAUAAGGGAAGGCUCCCGAAUCUUAUCGAAUAAUGUGCUGGAGUACACGAGCGGCGGACGGCUGAGUAACACGUAGGAACGUACCCCAAACUGAGGGAUAAGCACCAGAAAUGGUGUCUAAUACCGCAUGUGAUCUUCGGAUUAAAGCNCCGGCGGUUUGGGAACGGCCUGCGCAUGAUUAGCUUGUUGGUGAGGUAAUAGCUCACCAAGGCGACGAUCAUUAGCUGGUCUGAGAGGAUGACCAGCCAGACUGGGACUGAGAACGGCCCAGACUCCUACGGGAGGCAGCAGUAGGGAAUUUUCCACAAUGGACGCAAGUCUGAUGGAGCAACGCCGCGUGCAGGAUGAAUGUCUUCGGAUUGUAAACUGUCUUUUCUCUGUGACGAAUAUGACGGUAGC
This 472-nucleotide ribosomal RNA is filed under the name uncultured bacterium. Its description in RNAcentral is "bacterial SSU rRNA". It matches the Rfam family "Bacterial small subunit ribosomal RNA", at positions 28 to 479 of the family's 1533-position model. The record is from RNAcentral.